This 505-nucleotide ribosomal RNA is filed under the name uncultured bacterium. RNAcentral describes it as "partial 16S ribosomal RNA". It matches the Rfam family "Bacterial small subunit ribosomal RNA", at positions 28 to 507 of the family's 1533-position model. The record is from RNAcentral.
GACGAACGCUGGCGGCGUGCCUAAUACAUGCAAGUAGAACGCACAGUUUAUACCGUAGCUUGCUACACCAUAAACUGUGAGUUGCGAACGGGUGAGUAACGCGUAGGUAACCUGCCUGGUAGCGGGGGAUAACUAUUGGAAACGAUAGCUGAUACCGCAUAAUAUUGAUUAUUGCAUGAUAAUUGAUUGAAAGAUGCUAUUGCAUCACUACCAGAUGGACCUGCGUUGUAUUAGCUAGUAGGUGAGGUAACGGCUCACCUAGGCGACGAUACAUAGCCGACCUGAGAGGGUGAUCGGCCACACUGGGACUGAGACACGGCCCAGACUCCUACGGGAGGCAGCAGUAGGGAAUCUUCGGCAAUGGACGAAAGUCUGACCGAGCAACGCCGCGGGAGUGAAGAAGGUUUUCGGAUCGUAAAGCUCUGUUGUAAGAGAAGAACGGGUGUGAGAGUGGAAAGUUCACACUGUGACGGUAUCUUACCAGAAAGGGACGGCUAACUACGUG